CGAUUUUCCUCUGACAUUUCACAGAUAUUUGGUGACAUCACAAAAAUUCGCAUCACAAAGAUCCGCACUGACUUAAAACACCUCUUUGUCUUAUUUUGUCAUAAAUUGUUCACUCCUUUUAUUUGAUUGCAAAGAAAUUUUCAGAACAAACAGAAAGAUGCUUUAAAGAGGAGGUAUUUCUUGUCUACCUCUUGAAUAAAAUUUAAACUCAUGUGAAUACGGCCGCAAAGCUCACAGUAGUUGAAAUUUUCUAGAUUAAAAGACUUUUUUAGCAAAUAAAUCUACUGAAUUGACCCGAUUUGCUCAUCAAUAAGGUAUGCAACUAGUGUGUUUACGGCCCUCGCUUCGCUCUGGCCGCAAAGUUCACACUCGUUGAUUUUUUUUCUAGCAUAGACAGCAAGAAAUCACUCAUAGAAGUCUUUUCAGAACAAAUCAUAGAUUAUUGAUCCAUCAUUUUCCAUUAACGUUAACUUCGUUAGUAAUUUCAG
This is a long non-coding RNA of Bradysia coprophila, 488 nucleotides long. The record is from RefSeq and is a predicted model, not a curated record. NCBI's taxonomy places the organism in Eukaryota, Metazoa, Arthropoda, Insecta, Diptera, Sciaridae.